This 396-nucleotide ribosomal RNA is filed under the name uncultured bacterium. RNAcentral's name for it is "partial 16S ribosomal RNA". It matches the Rfam family "Bacterial small subunit ribosomal RNA", at positions 523 to 918 of the family's 1533-position model. The record is from RNAcentral.
AUACGUAGGUGGCAAGCGUUGUCCGGAAUUAUUGGGCGUAAAGCGCAUGUAGGCGGUUUGGUAAGUCGGUCGUGAAAAUGCGGUGCUUAACGCCGUAUGGCGAUUGAAACUGCUGAACUUGAGUGCAGGAGAGGAAAGGGGAACUCCCAGUGUAGCGGUGAAAUGCGUAGAUAUUGGGAAGAACACCGGUGGCGAAGGCGCCUUUCCGGACUGUGUCUGACGCUCAGAUGCGAAAGCCAGGGUAGCGAACGGGAUUAGAUACCCCGGUAGUCCAGGCCGUAAACGAUGGGUACUAGGUGUGGGAGGUAUCGACUCCUUCCGUGCCGGAGUUAACGCAAUAAGUACCCCGCCUGGGGAGUACGGCCGCAAGGCUUAAACUUAAAGGAAUUGACGGGG